GAAAAUUUAGUUAAAAUAUAACAAUUACUUGUCAAGUAAUAAUUAAAUAAUUUUAAUUUUCA
RNAcentral lists this transfer RNA (62 nucleotides) under Paratenetus tropicalis. RNAcentral describes it as "tRNA-Asp". Lineage: Eukaryota; Metazoa; Arthropoda; Insecta; Coleoptera; Tenebrionidae. The record is from RNAcentral. RNAcentral also lists the same sequence under 1 other name.